This 874-nucleotide ribosomal RNA is filed under the name Penicillium ochrochloron. Its description in RNAcentral is "LSU rRNA". It matches the Rfam family "Eukaryotic large subunit ribosomal RNA", at positions 76 to 966 of the family's 3401-position model. The record is from RNAcentral. Lineage: Eukaryota; Fungi; Ascomycota; Eurotiomycetes; Eurotiales; Aspergillaceae.
UGCCUCAGUAACGGCGAGUGAAGCGGCAAGAGCUCAAAUUUGAAAGCUGGCCCCCUCGGGGUCCGCAUUGUAAUUUGCAGAGGAUGCUUCGGGAGUGGCCCCCAUCUAAGUGCCCUGGAACGGGCCGUCAUAGAGGGUGAGAAUCCCGUCUGGGAUGGGGUGCCCACGCCCGUGUGAAGCUCCUUCGACGAGUCGAGUUGUUUGGGAAUGCAGCUCUAAAUGGGUGGUAAAUUUCAUCUAAAGCUAAAUACUGGCCGGAGACCGAUAGCGCACAAGUAGAGUGAUCGAAAGAUGAAAAGCACUUUGAAAAGAGAGUUAAACAGCACGUGAAAUUGUUGAAAGGGAAGCGCUUGCGACCAGACUCGCCCACGGGGUUCAGCCGGCAUUCGUGCCGGUGUUCUUCCCCGCGGGCGGGCCAGCGUCGGUUUGGGCGGCCGGUCAAAGGCCCUUGGAAUGUACCGCCCCCCGGGGCGGCUUAUAGCCAAGGGUGCCAUGCGGCCAGCCCGGACCGAGGAACGCGCUUCGGCUCGGACGCUGGCAUAAUGGUCGUAAGCGACCCGUCUUGAAACACGGACCAAGGAGUCUAACAUCUACGCGAGUGUUCGGGUGUCAAACCCGUGCGCGCAGUGAAAGCGAACGGAGGUGGGAACCCCUCGGGGCGCACCAUCGACCGAUCCUGAUGUCUUCGGAUGGAUUUGAGUAAGAGCGUAGCUGUUGGGACCCGAAAGAUGGUGAACUAUGCCUGAAUAGGGCGAAGCCAGAGGAAACUCUGGGUGGAGGCUCGCAGCGGUUCUGACGUGCAAAUCGAUCGUCAAAUUUGGGUAUAGGGGCGAAAGACUAAAUCGAAACCAAUCUAGUAGCUGGUUCUGCGAAG